This 5222-nucleotide long non-coding RNA is filed under the name Triticum aestivum (bread wheat). Its description in RNAcentral is "long non-coding RNA (TAES_LNC003673)". Lineage: Eukaryota; Viridiplantae; Streptophyta; Magnoliopsida; Poales; Poaceae. The record is from RNAcentral.
CUUGUUGCUGUACUUUUCUGAACCCCUACUACUGUUGUUUCCCUCAUUAUCUUUCUCUGAAUUUUCUGUAAGCUGAGAUGUGUAAUGCUUUGUAAUGUUCAGAUUUGAGUAGUGCUUGACACUUGUUCAGUUUCAGACUUGUCCUUGAUUAAUAGUACUUGUGUUGUUCAUCUCAGAGUACUAGAAUUAUGUCUUGUAACCUCCCCCUAUUUGCAUAUGUGUGAUGUGUGUUCUGUAGUGUUUUUGUUAACUUUGUUCAUGUGAAAACAUAUAUGUUUGUGUUGUGAUAUAUUUUUGUCCCUAUCAUAUUAGCUUGUUUCUUUCCUUCUGUCAUUGCUAGUUAUAUAUGUGUGAGUGUUUGUGUUGUGAGAGUUGUACUGUUACAUUGUGAUUCUCAUUUAAAAUGUAAGAGUACUAGCUAUAUACUCCCUCCAUUCCUAAAUAUAGGGUGUAUAGUUUUUGGCACGGAAUUAAAGAACGCACGUGGAGGGAAAAUUUCACAAGUUCUGGGCGAGAUUACACCUGACUAAUUGACAUGAAUAAAAAGAGAAAUGUAAUCAAAUCCCUAAAAAAUUAAUCCAAACGAGUGGUGCAACGCAAUGCACCUUAUAUUUCGGAUUUUUUCUCAGAAAUCUAUACACCUUAUAUCAAGGAACGGAGGGAGUAUGUCAUAUAUAUUCUAUUCAUGUAUGAUAGUUAUGUGUUCUUGUCUAGUAGGUUUCCCUAAUAUUGAUUCUCGUUUGUGUUAGUGUUUUAAUCCCUCAAGCCUAAUAAAAAUACCAAAAAGACAAUGAGUAAAAUCUGAAUUUCCCCUUGCUGUUUACCCUUUCUUUGUCGUCAACCUUAGCUAGUUUAGGUUAUUAUUUUCUUGGAAUCCUCUCUUAAAAUUUUGUCACCUAGCUUUAGCUGAGCAUUGCUGCUGUCGCCUAGUCCCUGUGGAGAACACGACAUCCGUAGUUUGGGGCGUAAAAAACCCUGCUAUAUUACAACUGAUCAUUUUGGCGCCGUUGUCGAGGACCAGCGUCGAGCGUUUGUGUGAGGCUUUAGACUAGGUUUAGCUUGUUUCCUUUUUGUGCUUUAUAUAUUUGUGAUAUAUCUCUAGCCACUAACCCCUGUUCUAGUUAGUAUCUUUUUGUCUUCUUUUCCUUUUUGCAGGUUGGAUUAUCCUCUCGGUUAUGGCUUACUAUUCAGAUCAUCAUGCUUAUGCGAGCAACACUACAAACAGCACGGAAAGUGUUCAAGAACUGAUAGGUAAGAUUUCCCAUCGAUUAGAUGAUUUAGCUCGGCAGCGAGAAGGAGUUUUUGAGGAUAGGCCUAGUUCUUACGAUCCUUAUUCCAGUGGCCAUCCUUAUGUUGCUCCUACUUGCCAUAUUUGUGGAUUUCAGGGCCAUUCACCCGCUGAAUGUCAGUGUGGCUACUCUCACACUCCGGAUUGUUUUGGCAUGAGCUUCGCUCAAGAGCAUAGCUCAUACCAAAACAAUUACUCACAUGGGUGGCCUGAAAUCCCGAAUAUGUCAUAUAGGAGCAACAACCCUGAGAUCUCACAGUUUGGUUCUAGUAAUCAUAUGCAGGGAUUUAGGUACAAUGAGGAGAGCCACAACUAUGCACCACAACAAUUCCAUUCAGCUCCUACUCAUAUACCACAGCACCAGGAGAUGUGUCCAAUGGAGUUAAAUGGUCCUCCAUUUGGUCAACCAACAACUCCAGCACCUGUUGUGCAAUCUCAUGUGCAAGUGCCCACACAAGAUGAGUUCGAUGACAUAGACAAGCUCACACUUUUGAGUCUCGAGUUCACUUGGAGUGCCGAGGAUGAUCCUAUUAGGAAGGUGAUACUUGAGGAAAUGAAGAAGAUUAAGAGUGGAAAAGAGCUAGUGGAAGAAGUAAGGAAGAUUGAGAAGAACAUCAACGCUGGCAGCACUAUUUCUUCACAGCUAGAGCUGAGUGUUGCUGAGAUAUCCAUUGAUACAUGUGAGGUACCAACACCUUCACAUUCAGCUGAGCAAGAUAGCGAGAGUCCAGAGGAAGAGAUACUUCAGAUCCAAGAAGAAAUUCUCGAAGCCAAGGCACAAGAUGAUCUAGAGCUCGAACAACAAAGUGAUCAAGUUGAAGACUCAUCAUCUACUACUCCUGAAGAAGUACAAGAAGCUGUUGUAGAUGAAGAUGAAGAACAUGAGAUUCAUUUGCCUAUUGUCAUACCAGAGCGUGAUGUGUCAGGUUUACUCAAUCCUCUUGAUGACAUUAUGCCUUGUGAUUUCUUUGCUACUACCUUGCAUUACAUGAUACCAUCACUUAAGAUUGAUUUGAAAACUCAUUUGCUUGGAUAUGAUGAUAUAUACCCUGUUAGUGGCAUUACUCUCAUUUGUGAUGACCAUAGUUACUUUCCUCGCGCUAAUCCUAUGCUUAAUGAAACAUAUCACUCCCAUGCUAGUCUUGAGCUUAAUGAUAAAUAUCAUCCUCAUGUUAGUGUUGACCUUGCUGAUUUCUACCAUCCUAAACAUGUGCUUUAUAGCUAUGCUUAUGUAAUUGGAUACUCUAUCGAUGACUAAGAGGGCAUUCUCUCUGUCACUUGUAUUGGCUUGGUUGUUGAGUGUUCUUUCAGGUUGAUGCUUGUGUACCAUUUACUACGAGUUGACCGAGUUCGAGAUGACAUUCCCUGGGAUCCUGGUGGACUCAGAGCAUGGGGAUGAGGAGAAGCAAGGGGGCACACACGAGGAAGGGAGAAGCUGGAGUAGGCAUGAGGAUAGAGAAGCAAAAGGAGAGGAGCUGCAGUUGGUGAGGUGAUCGAGCGAGUGCUACUUCCUAUGAAAACCCGGUGAGCUGUUUCAUGACCCAUUCCUAGUAUAUCAUCCAUUGAUACAUGCUGAAAUCAAAUGUUAUUUGGGUUGCUUAAGCCAUGUCUUAAAUGUUGCCCCACUGAAUUUUACUUGAAAUAUGGUGCUUGAUGAGAAUAUGUGAACUGAGCGUUGAAUGCCUGGUAAACUAGUGAUCUAUACAAUGCUUGCUUUGCUGAAAGUAGUGGAAGUUAUUAGUUUUGAGUGCUCAAAUCCCUAGUAUACUAGAAAACUUAAUCAUUUUCUGCUUUUACCUCGAUACACCUAGAUCACCACGUUUAGAUUCUGAAUUUGUGCUAAGUGUGUUCCCAUUGAGAGCAAUCACCUAACCACUAUGGAUUAGCAUGCUAUGUUCCCUGGAUCGGUAGCAUGUGAACCAGACAUGGAGAAGUGAUGAUUCCUGUUUUUGUGCUUAUGUGUUGUUCAUUUAAGAUAAGUAAUAUUGAAUAAAUAAGUCUGACUACCUACAGUAGCAUGUCAUGUUCCCGGGAUCGGUGGCAUGUGAAAUCGGGUUAGCUUGGGCAGUAAUUAAUAAUAAAAAAAUGUAAUUGUCGAACCAGGUGUAUACCAUGUUCUCGGGAUCGGUGGUAUGUUCCUUUGGGGAGACAAACAAAAAAACUAAUAAUUGGUCGAGCCAGGUGUAUACCAUGUUCUCGGGAUCGGUGGUAUGUUCCUAUGGUGAGACUAAUAAUAAUAUAAUCAUUGCUUUAUCUCUGUAAAUAAGUGAUUUGAUCACAAGAUUUAAUUCCAGUUCAUUUUGUUCUUGGGAUCAUGCUCUCUUUAGGAACCAUUUGGCGCAGUCAUCAUUUAAACUUGUUGAUCCUCUUUUAUCUCUGUAAAAGUUUAAAAUGGUCAUGCUUACUAGUAUCCUACUGCUUUGUAGCACUCCUAACCAUUAAUUUUCACUAGCUAAGUCUGAAGCAUGCCUUGUUUGGAGAUCUAUUUUACCAGGACAUUCCUUACUCAGUUUACUGUUCAUUAUCUUGCCUUUAUCAUAUUCCUUUGCUUGAGGACAAGCAAAGAUUUAAGUGUGGGGGAACUUGAUAAGUGCAUUUCAUAUAUAUAAUUUGGCACUCAAAUUUAGCAUCUAUCGUGAUAUAUCCAUCCAUUCUUGCUAUGAGUUGUGAUAUAUUUGAAUGAAAAUCAUAUAAAAGAUCAUUUACUUGUCAUUUGUUUCUUUUGCAGAAAAGUGCGCAAGGCACUAUAAUCGUCAAGAUUUUUACUAUGUGGCUAACGAGACGAGAGAAGGGCUUGUGUGUGACGACAAGAAGUAACCAAAGGGGCUAACUAUAGAAGAGAGGGGAUCUACUUGGGAAGGAAGAAGAUAGUAGGAGGGCCCAUGUGCAAACAUCAAAAUCUGCUGUGAGGGGAUCAAACUCCCUAGGUCACUACACAAUUCCCCUCGGGCCUGGCUACACAUCUCUCUUCUCCCCCACCUCUCCUUCUCCAACUCCGGCCGCCGCCACGUCCAGGCCAGCGUGGUGGUGCGCCUUCGCAGCACAUCCAUCCACCAGCACCACCAUCACACGACCACUCCACAACCAGCGCCACCCAGCCACCCAUGCUCACCAUCUCCAUCACCCGCCGCUGCAUCAUCACCAAUCAGCCACUGCUGCACCAUCACCAGCACCUCCAUACACCACCAUCCAUCAGCGCCACCAUCUACAGCUACCGCUGCAUCUCGCGUGCUCGACCAGACAAGAGGGUCACGGGCAUCUGGUCCUCCGCGUUAGCGCCCCCGUGAUGUUGAUGUUCUUCUCCUUUCCCCCCUGCUGCUUCUUCCCUUCACGCUGCUGCUGCUGCCUUCCUUGCACCCCCUUGCUGCUGCUACGAUCUGAACCCUCCUUGCUUUUGCUCUUCCCUCGUCCUAGCCUGCUGCUCUCUCAAUCUCUGCUGCUGCUAUUCUCUAAGCCCCCCACGCUGCUGCUGUUCCUCUUCUUUCCCACGUCUCUCCUGCUUUCUUCUCCCCAAAACUGCUGCUAUACCUUCUCCCUAAUUCCCCUCUUCUCCUAACCUCGUUGUUGUACUUUUCUGAACCCCUACUACUCCUGUUUCCCUCAUUAUCUUUCUCUGAAUUUUCUGUAAGCUGAGAUGUGUAAUGCUUUGUAAUGUUCAGAUUUGAGUAGUGCUUGACACUUGUUCAGUUUCAGACUUGUCCUUGAUUAAUAGUACUUGUGUUGUUCAUCUCAGAGUACUAGAAUUAUGUCUUGUAACCUCCCCCUGUUUGCAUAUGUGUGAUGUGUGUUCUGUAGUGUUUUUGUUAACUUUGUUCAUGUGAAAACAUAUAUGUUUGUGUUGUGAUAUAUUUUUGUCCCUAUCAUAUUAGCUUGUUUCUUUCCUUCUGUCAUUGCUAGUUAUAUAUGUGUGAGUGUUUGUGUUGUGAGAGUUGUA